GCCAGGUGUGGUGGUGCAUGCCUGUAAUCCCAAUGGCUCAGGAGGCUGAGAUAGGAGGAUGGAGAGUUUGAAGCCAGCCUCAGCAAAAGUGAGGCACUAAGCAACUCAGUGAGACCCUGUCUCUA
This 125-nucleotide small RNA is filed under the name Marmota monax (woodchuck). Lineage: Eukaryota; Metazoa; Chordata; Mammalia; Rodentia; Sciuridae. The record is from RNAcentral.